Molecule: ribosomal RNA, 494 nt
Filed under: uncultured bacterium
Lineage: Bacteria
Description: partial 16S ribosomal RNA
Rfam family: Bacterial small subunit ribosomal RNA
Source: RNAcentral
GACGAACGCUGGCGGCGUGCUUAACACAUGCAAGUCGAACGGAAAGGCCUGCUUUCCCUUGUGGAUUGCGGGUACUCGAGUGGCGAACGGGUGAGUAACACGUGAGUGAUCUGCCCCCAACUUGGGUAUAAGCCUGGGAAACUGGGUCUAAUUCCCGAUAGGACUGCAGGGUGGUGCCUGUGGUGGAAAACGAUUUUCUAGUGGUUGGGGAUGAGCUCGCGGCCUAUCAGCUUGUUGGUGGGGUAAUGGCCUACCAAGGCGGCGACGGGUAGCCGGCCUGAGAGGGUGGACGGCGACAUUGGGACUGAGAUACGGCCCAGACUCCGACGGGAGGCAGCAGUGGGGAAUAUUGCACAAUGGGCGGAAGCCUGAUGCAGCGACGCCGCGGGGGGGAUGACGGCCUUCGGGUUGUAAACUCCUUUCGACCGCGAGGAAGCCACCUGGUUGGAAGGGUGGUGACGGUAGUGGGAGAAGAAGCACCGGCUAACUACGUG